RNAcentral lists this ribosomal RNA (253 nucleotides) under uncultured bacterium. RNAcentral's name for it is "partial 16S ribosomal RNA". It matches the Rfam family "Bacterial small subunit ribosomal RNA", at positions 524 to 776 of the family's 1533-position model. The record is from RNAcentral.
UACAUAGGGGGCAAGCGUUGCUCGGAAUUACUGGGCGUAAAGGGCGCGUAGGCGGGAUGGCAAGUCGGUCGUGAAAUCCCUCGGCUCAACCGAGGAACGUCGAUCGAUACUGCUGUUCUUGAGGAUUGCAGAGGAGACUGGAAUUCCCGGUGUAGCGGUGAAAUGUGUAGAGAUCGGGAGGAACACCGGUGGCGAAGGCGGGUCUCUGGGCAAUUCCUGACGCUGAGGCGCGAAAGCGUGGGGAGCAAACAGG